GUACACUUUGUACUGAGCCUUUACCAAAUGACUGCGUGCCUACAAUAACGGCGCGCUUAUGAUCUUGCAGGGCACCGGCAACAAUUUCAGACGCAGAAGCAGAGCCACCGUUAAUUAACACAAUUAAUGGAAUAUCUUCGGCAAUGGUUUCUUCGCUAGCAGAGUAACGGAAAUCAGACUCUGCAAUGCGACCUUCGGUAUAGACGAUUAAGCCCGUAUUUAAAAAUGCGUCAGAGACUUCAACCGCCGCAUCUAAAACACCACCAGGGUUAUUGCGUA
Molecule: non-coding RNA, 279 nt
Filed under: uncultured Oleispira sp.
Lineage: Bacteria; Pseudomonadati; Pseudomonadota; Gammaproteobacteria; Oceanospirillales; Oceanospirillaceae
Source: RNAcentral